AAAUUUAGGUUAACAAUCUUACACCAAGGGACCUUCAAAGCCCUAAAUAGCGGGCUAACCCCCUAAUUUCUG
Molecule: transfer RNA, 72 nt
Filed under: Luperosaurus macgregori
Lineage: Eukaryota; Metazoa; Chordata; Lepidosauria; Squamata; Gekkonidae
Description: tRNA-Trp
Source: RNAcentral